UACGUAGGGUGCGAGCGUUAAUCGGAAUUACUGGGCGUAAAGCGUGCGCAGGCGGUUUGACAAGUCCGAUGUGAAAGCCCCGGGCUCAACCUGGGAAUGGCAUUGGAAACUGGCGAGCUUGAGUGUGGCAGAGGGGGGUGGAAUUCCGCGUGUAGCAGUGAAAUGCGUAGAGAUGCGGAGGAACACCGAUGGCGAAGGCAGCCCCCUGGGCUGACACUGACGCUCAGGCACGAAAGCGUGGGGAGCAAACAGG
This 253-nucleotide ribosomal RNA is filed under the name uncultured bacterium. RNAcentral's name for it is "partial 16S ribosomal RNA". It matches the Rfam family "Bacterial small subunit ribosomal RNA", at positions 524 to 776 of the family's 1533-position model. The record is from RNAcentral.